RNAcentral lists this ribosomal RNA (197 nucleotides) under uncultured bacterium. Its description in RNAcentral is "partial 16S ribosomal RNA". The record is from RNAcentral.
AUUACCGCGGCUGCUGGCACAGAGUUAGCCGGUGCUUAUUCUGUCGGUAACGUCAAAACAGCAAGGUAUUAACUUACUGCCCUUCCUCCCAACUUAAAGUGCUUUACAAUCCGAAGACCUUCUUCACACACGCGGCAUGGCUGGAUCAGGCUUUCGCCCAUUGUCCAAUAUUCCCCACUGCUGCCUCCCGUAGGAGU